AGGUGUGACCAUACCAGCACUAAUGCGUCGGAUCCCGUCAAAACUCCACAGUUAAGCGUGCUUGGGCAAGAGUAGUACUAGGAUGGGUGACCUCCUGGGAAUGCCUCGUGUUUCACCCC
Non-coding RNA from Gossypium hirsutum (cotton), 119 nucleotides. NCBI's taxonomy places the organism in Eukaryota, Viridiplantae, Streptophyta, Magnoliopsida, Malvales, Malvaceae. The record is from Rfam.